Molecule: ribosomal RNA, 217 nt
Filed under: uncultured bacterium
Lineage: Bacteria
Description: partial 16S ribosomal RNA
Rfam family: Bacterial small subunit ribosomal RNA
Source: RNAcentral
UCGGGGAUAGCCUUUCGAAAGAAAGAUUAAUACCCGAUGGCAUAGUUCUUCCGCAUGGUAGAACUAUUAAAGAAUUUCGGUCAUCGAUGGGGAUGCGUUCCAUUAGGUUGUUGGCGGGGUAACGGCCCACCAAGCCUUCGAUGGAUAGGGGUUCUGAGAGGAAGGUCCCCCACAUUGGAACUGAGACACGGUCCAAACUCCUACGGGAGGCAGCAUG